UGUUCUUGGAGCUUGUGAACUUGGCAAAGU
This 30-nucleotide non-coding RNA is filed under the name Mus musculus (house mouse). Lineage: Eukaryota; Metazoa; Chordata; Mammalia; Rodentia; Muridae. The record is from RNAcentral.